Molecule: ribosomal RNA, 1001 nt
Filed under: uncultured Ralstonia sp.
Lineage: Bacteria; Pseudomonadati; Pseudomonadota; Betaproteobacteria; Burkholderiales; Burkholderiaceae
Description: bacterial SSU rRNA
Rfam family: Bacterial small subunit ribosomal RNA
Source: RNAcentral
CAUGAUCUAGCUUGCUAGAUUGAUGGCGAGUGGCGAACGGGUGAGUAAUACAUCGGAACGUGCCCUGUAGUGGGGGAUAACUAGUCGAAAGAUUAGCUAAUACCGCAUACGACCUGAGGGUGAAAGUGGGGGACCGCAAGGCCUCAUGCUAUAGGAGCGGCCGAUGUCUGAUUAGCUAGUUGGUGGGGUAAAGGCCCACCAAGGCGACGAUCAGUAGCUGGUCUGAGAGGACGAUCAGCCACACUGGGACUGAGACACGGCCCAGACUCCUACGGGAGGCAGCAGUGGGGAAUUUUGGACAAUGGGGGCAACCCUGAUCCAGCAAUGCCGCGUGUGUGAAGAAGGCCUUCGGGUUGUAAAGCACUUUUGUCCGGAAAGAAAUCGCACUUACUAAUAUUAGGUGUGGAUGACGGUACCGGAAGAAUAAGGACCGGCUAACUACGUGCCAGCAGCCGCGGUAAUACGUAGGGUCCAAGCGUUAAUCGGAAUUACUGGGCGUAAAGCGUGCGCAGGCGGUUGUGCAAGACCGAUGUGAAAUCCCCGGGCUUAACCUGGGAAUUGCAUUGGUGACUGCACGGCUAGAGUGUGUCAGAGGGGGGUAGAAUUCCACGUGUAGCAGUGAAAUGCGUAGAGAUGUGGAGGAAUACCGAUGGCGAAGGCAGCCCCCUGGGAUAACACUGACGCUCAUGCACGAAAGCGUGGGGAGCAAACAGGAUUAGAUACCCUGGUAGUCCACGCCCUAAACGAUGUCAACUAGUUGUUGGGGAUUCAUUUCCUUAGUAACGUAGCUAACGCGUGAAGUUGACCGCCUGGGGAGUACGGUCGCAAGAUUAAAACUCAAAGGAAUUGACGGGGACCCGCACAAGCGGUGGAUGAUGUGGAUUAAUUCGAUGCAACGCGAAAAACCUUACCUACCCUUGACAUGCCACUAACGAAGCAGAGAUGCAUUAGGUGCUCGAAAGAGAAAGUGGACACAGGUGCUGCAUGGCUGUCGUCAGCUC